UUCUUCAGUGUAACUGCAAGUACUGUACAGUCUGACUGAGUGACCUUCAUUAGGUCGGACAAGGAACAGAAAAUCAACUCUUCACACCCUCCAGACUGAAAAUAUUUUACAGACUUUCUUCAGACUCAACCAUCAAUUCAGCACAUACAUUCACUAUAAUUACAACUCUUGGUGUUGCAGGUCAUCAUGAGCGACAUCACCCUCAUGAGGAUCUCUGACAGCGAGAAAGAGAGAAUGCUCCGGGAAAGCCUGCAAAG
Malaclemys terrapin pileata is the source of this 257-nucleotide long non-coding RNA. RefSeq lists it as uncharacterized. The transcript has 3 exons. Lineage: Eukaryota; Metazoa; Chordata; Testudines; Emydidae. The record is from RefSeq and is a predicted model, not a curated record.